Molecule: unclassified non-coding RNA, 301 nt
Filed under: uncultured Agaricales
Lineage: Eukaryota; Fungi; Basidiomycota; Agaricomycetes; Agaricales
Description: sequence contains 5.8S rRNA gene, ITS2, 28S rRNA gene
Rfam family: 5.8S ribosomal RNA (bases 1-52)
Source: RNAcentral
AACGCACCUUGCGCUCCUUGGUAUUCCGAGGAGCAUGCCUGUUUGAGUGUCAUUAAAUUCUCAACCCUCUCAUCCUUUCUGGACGGGGGCGGCUUGGAUUGUGGAGGCUUUGCUGGUCCCUUGGGAUUGGCUCCUCUGAAAUGUAUUAGUGGAACCGUUUGCGAUCUGCCACAGGUGUGAUAAUUAUCUACGCCCAGGGAUUGCUCUCAGUGCUCUGCUGCUAAUUGUCCAUAUGGACAACUUGAUCAAUGAUCAAUGAACGUUUGACCUCAAAUCAGGUAGGACUACCCGCUGAACUUAA